This 498-nucleotide ribosomal RNA is filed under the name uncultured bacterium. Its description in RNAcentral is "partial 16S ribosomal RNA". It matches the Rfam family "Bacterial small subunit ribosomal RNA", at positions 28 to 507 of the family's 1533-position model. The record is from RNAcentral.
GACGAACGCUGGCGGCGUGCCUAAUACAUGCAAGUCGAGCGAACCAAUAAGAAGCUUGCUUUUUGUUGGUUAGCGGCGGACGGGUGAGUAACACGUGGGUAACCUGCCUGUAAGACCGGGAUAACUCCGGGAAACCGGUGCUAAUACCGGAUAGAUUAUCUUUCCGCAUGGAGAGAUAAGGAAAGAUGGCUAUUGCCAUCACUUACAGGUGUGCCCGCGGCGCAUUAGCUAGUUGGUGGGGUAACGGCUCACCAAGGCGACGAUGCGUAGCCGACCUGAGGGGGUGAUAGGCCGCACGGGGACUGAGCCACGGCCCAGACUCCUACGGGAGGCAGCAGUAGGGAAUCGUCCGCAAUGGACGAAAGUCUGACGGAGCAACGCCGCGUGAGAGAAGAAGGUCUUCGGAGCGUAAAGCUCUGUUGUUAGGGAAGAACAAGUAUCGGAGGAAAUGCCGGUACCUUGACGGUACCUGACGAGAAAGCCACGGCUAACUACGUG